UACAGAGGGUGCGAGCGUUAAUCGGAAUUACUGGGCGUAAAGGGCGCGUAGGCGGUCGUAAUAGUGUGAUGUGAAAGCCCCGGGCUUAACCUGGGAAGUGCAUCGCAAACGUUGCGACUGGAGUACAAGAGAGGGUGGCGGAAUUUCCGGUGUAGCGGUGUAAUGCGUAGAGAUCGGAAGGAACGUCAAUGGCGAAGGCAGCCACCUGGCUUGAUACUGCCGCUGAGGCGCGAAAGCGUGGGGAGCGAUCAGG
This 253-nucleotide ribosomal RNA is filed under the name uncultured bacterium. RNAcentral describes it as "partial 16S ribosomal RNA". It matches the Rfam family "Bacterial small subunit ribosomal RNA", at positions 524 to 776 of the family's 1533-position model. The record is from RNAcentral.